CGGGUGAGUAACACGUGAGUAACCUUCCCUUGACUCUGGGAUAAGCCCGGGAAACUGGGUCUAAUACCGGAUAUGACCUCCUGUCGCAUGGUGGGGGGUGGAAAGAUUUAUCGGUCUUGGAUGGACUCGCGGCCUAUCAGCUUGUUGGUGAGGUAAUGGCUCACCAAGGCGACGACGGGUAGCCGGCCUGAGAGGGUGACCGGCCACACUGGGACUGAGACACGGCCCAGACUCCUACGGGAGGCAGCAGUGGGGAAUAUUGCACAAUGGGCGCAAGCCUGAUGCAGCGACGCCGCGUGAGGGAUGACGGCCUUCGGGUUGUAAACCUCUUUCAGUAGGGAAGAAGCCUUCGGGUGACGGUACCUGCAGAAGAAGCGCCGGCUAACUACGUGCCAGCAGCCGCGGUAAUACGUAGGGCGCGAGCGUUAUCCGGAAUUAUUGGGCGUAAAGAGCUCGUAGGCGGUUUGUCGCGUCUGCCGUGAAAGUCCGGGGCUUAACCCCGGAUCUGCGGUGGGUACGGGCAGACUAGAGUG
RNAcentral lists this ribosomal RNA (533 nucleotides) under Citricoccus sp. B-MM-16. Its description in RNAcentral is "bacterial SSU rRNA". It matches the Rfam family "Bacterial small subunit ribosomal RNA", at positions 103 to 648 of the family's 1533-position model. Lineage: Bacteria; Bacillati; Actinomycetota; Actinomycetes; Micrococcales; Micrococcaceae. The record is from RNAcentral.